This is a long non-coding RNA of Myotis davidii, 79 nucleotides long. RefSeq lists it as uncharacterized. Lineage: Eukaryota; Metazoa; Chordata; Mammalia; Chiroptera; Vespertilionidae. The record is from RefSeq and is a predicted model, not a curated record. The transcript has 3 exons.
AGAAAGCAUGUCAAACUUGAGGCCCACAAUGAGUAUUUUUGCGGCCCAGUCAAUAUAAUAGUACGCUGACACCAUUCUU